GACUACAGCCAUACUUCUCUGCACAGCACCCAGUCUCCUCUGAACUGAAGCUAAGUAGGGAACUGUCUGGUUAGUACUUGGGUGGGAGAAAAUGUAUUAAUGGGCUGUAACCC
Molecule: ribosomal RNA, 113 nt
Organism: Cricetulus griseus (Chinese hamster)
Lineage: Eukaryota; Metazoa; Chordata; Mammalia; Rodentia; Cricetidae
Source: Ensembl